CGGGUGAGUAACGCGUGGAUAAUCUGCCCGAGGAUUUGGGAUAACAUCUCGAAAGGGGUGCUAAUACCGAAUAAGCCCACGGGGUCUACGGAUCUUGCGGGAAAAGGGGGGGACUUUCGGGCCUCCUGUCUUCGGAUGAGUCCGCGUACCAUUAGCUAGUUGGUAGGGUAAUGGCCUACCAAGGCGACGAUGGUUAGCUGGUCUGAGAGGAUGAUCAGCCACACUGGAACUGAGACACGGUCCAGACUCCUACGGGAGGCAGCAGUGGGGAAUUUUGCGCAAUGGGGGAAACCCUGACGCAGCAACGCCGCGUGGGUGAUGAAGGCCUUCGGGUCGUAAAGCCCUGUCGGGAGGGAAGAAAUGAUUGAGAGCUAAUACCUCUUGGUCUUGACGGUACCUCCGAAGGAAGCACCGGCUAACUCCGUGCCAGCAGCCGCGGUAAUACGGAGGGUGCAAGCGUUGUUCGGAAUUAUUGGGCGUAAAGCGCGUGUAGGCGGUCUUUUAAGUCUGAUGUGAAAGCCCCGGGCUCAACCUGGGAAGUGCAUUGGAAACUGGGAGACUUGAGUACGGGAGAGGAGAGUGGAAUUCCUAGUGUAGGAGUGAAAUCCGUAGAUAUUAGGAGGAACACCGGUGGCGAAGGCGGCUCUCUGGACCGAUACUGACGCUGAGACGCGAAAGCGUGGGUAGCAAACAGGAUUAGAUACCCUGGUAGUCCACGCCGUAAACGAUGAGUACUAGGUGUUGCG
Molecule: ribosomal RNA, 746 nt
Filed under: uncultured bacterium
Lineage: Bacteria
Description: bacterial SSU rRNA
Rfam family: Bacterial small subunit ribosomal RNA
Source: RNAcentral